UUGAAUUACAAUAGAGCUCCCUCCCCAAUGAAGUGGGGUUAGUUGAUCAUGGCUCUGGAUGAAAUUGAAAAUGUAAAGUGCAUCUUGAAACAAACUAAUUACAGAGAAGAGUAAAUGGUGAGUGUUUACAAUCCUAUAUCCUUUCCAGGUUCCAAUUCCUUUUCUAGUUCAAAACUACUCCUAUAUAUACUACUUCUCUAAUCUUCAUUUGAAUCUGCAAGUAUCUGGAUGUGGGCCCUUGGCCUUGGUUGAAGCAGUUAACAAACUCAUUGGGCUUUGCUCAGCUUGCUGGAGGAGUUUAAGUUAGGCAGUAGUCACGUUAGUUAGGCCAUUAGUGUGAGUAACGUGAUGUGUAUUUUCAUGGCUCGAAGACAUUAGUGACACCAACGUGGUCACUAACGUCCCCAAAACCCCUUGAAUUCACAUUACUCCUAGCAUCAGUGGCACUAACAUGGCCACUAAUGCCACACCUUGCCUAAGCCCACGUUAAUGGUGGCGUUAAUAGCACUAACGUGGCACUAACGUCACUCAAUCUUCACCAUCGCUGGCGUUAAUGGCAUUAACGCCACCACUAACGCCAGGCCUGCCUUCUUCCACGUGAAUGCCCACGUUGGUGGCAUUAACGUAGCCACUAACGUGGCUUUCCUUGACUUUGCAUUAACCAUCGAGGACGUUAGUGGUAUCAACGCCACCACUAACGCCACAACCUGCCCCUCUUCAACGUUAAUGGCUCACGUUAGUGGCACUAACGUGGCUCUUUCCUGCCUCGAGGACGUUAGUGGUAUCAACGCCACCACUAACGCCACAAGCUCCCACUUUUCCACGUUAAUGGCUCACGUUAGUGGCACUAACGUGGCUCUUCUCUGCUUCUUCUUACCUGAAAUCAAUCAAACAAUUUUGCAUCAAAGCCUUACUCUAAGCAUAAAAUAAUGCAUCAUUUAUUACAUCAUUUAAUCUUUGCAUUAUUCUCAUGAAAUUGUUUAGAAUUCAUAAUAAUCAAGACAUGAAUGCAUAACUCAUCCAAUUGCUUGCUUAUUACAUAUGAAAAUGCAUGAAACUAACCUAAAACAUACUUAAAAUGGCUUGUGGAACUAGCCAAGAUGCCCUGGCAUCACUAAGCCAAUUAGUAGUUAGAUUGGGACUUAUGAGUUGAAUUUGAUCAAGCCUAUUUGACAUACUUCACUUGUAGAAGUGGAUUUGAUGGGCUUGGUUCCUCAUAAUUGUCAAUAUAUGGUUGUUAGACAAGGAUGGUGAUCCCAACUCCUAUGCCUUAGCCAAGAGUCCUUUUUAUAACUCAUACUUGAAACCCAAAAAUCCCGAUUACUUGACUCUUGUUAUAGUUAGUUUAGUUGUUUACUUAGUUCUAGAAUAGAAAUAGAUUUAUAUAUUAUCUUGUUAAAUUGCACUUACUUAUACCUUACUUUGAUUGCUUUGAUUUAGUUUCUUGCACUUUAAGUUUCUUGCAUGAUAAGCUGCGUUAGUUUAAAUUCCUGCUCAUAUAUCUUUCAACACUGGAAUUCUAACCAAUCUUGAUGCACAUGCUUACUCAUUCUCUUGAGGAUGACCCGAGACUAAUACUCUCGGUUACUUUUUACUGGGGUUGAAUUUGUGACAAUCAUAUUAAAAUUUGAUAGAGUGGUUAUUUGUCGGUUUAGGACUAUACUAUGACAUGAUCUUUGUUGAUAAAAUCUAGAUCGACAAAAAUCUAUCCAUCACCAACAUUUUCUGAAACUAUUUCCAACGGUUGUAAACCCAAAUCAUUCCUUACUUUAGAAGUAUAAAUCAAACUUUCAAAUAUUAAACCAUUUUCUUGAUGUGUAUAAAUAUGUAAACCAAAUCUUUUCUCAACAUAGAAUCACUUCUCAAAAUAAGCUUGUAAGUUGUAAAUCGGAUUUCUAGUACAAAGUUCGUUUCUUAAUAUAUAUAAAUUAGAUUUCUAAAAUAAAAUCACUUUUUGUACAUUUUUACUAAAAUUUGGACAGAACUUCCCCUAAAAAUUAGACUUCACCACCCUUACGGACUCCUUCUCUUUCAUCAUUCCUUAACUUAUCUCAAUCCAAACCAGCACUCAUUUCAGAAUCAACCAAAUUAAUUAAUAAAUCAGUCAAGCCAGCAAUUUCAUCCAUCCCACACAAUUCUGAUCAAUAUACUAUUCUCAUCACAAUCAGCUAGAAAUCAUAAUUUUUAGCAUUUUCAAACUUUCAGAACCAAACACAUAUUUUAUUAAAUUCAAUUAUUUUCACAGUCACAAAUCCAACACAAAUUUAUUAUUCAACCAAUCUAAACAUUAAUAAAUUAUUUGUAAUUACUCAUUAAACUUUUGAGCAUCCAUGAAUUAAAAAUUUAUAAUCUUAAAACGAACCCCUUACCUUAAUUAACCGAGUUCACAUAGAUUAAACAUGACAAGUCCCUUCCCUUUUAGUUUCAUGUCAGCAGUGGCAACUCCCAUGCAACCGGAACGACAGCAAUGUUAGCUCUCACAGCAGUAAUCAUGGUUGCAGCAAAAUAGAAGAUUCAAAUUGGAUGGAAAUUAAAAGAAAUUACAGCCCUAGAAAUUUCAAGACAAGGUAUAUACCAGAAUCAAUUCAGAACAAGCUUAGAAAUGACAAUAAAAUGUGUAAAUGAACCCGAAUCAAAGAAAAUGUUAGAACAAGCAUAGAAAUGACAAUAAAAUGUGUAAACCAAAUCAAAGAAAAUGUCAGACUGUAACUAUUAGCAACAGCUCCAGUGUUGGCUCCCAGUGGCAGAGGUAUGGCGAUGAAAGCAGCUAUGGAAGGUGAUGGCGGCUCUGCGAUAAACUCCAGCGAAGCUCCCCCUUCUCGAUUCUGUUUGGCGAGGGUAGUAGUUCAAACAAAAUGGUGACGGUCAAAUCUCUGAUAGCAAGCCCUAGCGGUUACGAUAGUGUUUGGCGGCGUUGACUCCUUCAAUGGCAGCGACAACUGGUGCAACAGCAGCGACGACUCUAACUGCUUCCAACAGCGAUGAGAUCUCCUUCUAGUGGCGGACAGCGGUGACUCUAUUUGCUUCCAGUGACGGGCAUGAUUGCGAUGGCUAGGUUUUGAUAGCGACGGCCACACUACCCACGACGGCGGCGCUGAAACGACAGCGACGGAACCCUCAGCGGCGGUCGUGGAUCCAACGACGGUGACAGCUUGGUGGCUUCGAUAGCAGCUUUCUCUCUGUCGCGCUUAGCUUUCUCUCUCACUCCACUGCGAGCCUUUCUCUUCCCUCGUGCAACAAUGGCAACGACAAUGGCGGCGAGGCUCUAGCCUGCGCCAUUCCUUCCUCCUCCCUUUCUUCCCUUCCCUCCGAACCCCCUUUUUUGUCUUUCCCUUUUGCUUUCUAUGCUUAUGUUUCAUUUCAGAAAC
Molecule: long non-coding RNA, 3368 nt
Filed under: Arachis ipaensis
Lineage: Eukaryota; Viridiplantae; Streptophyta; Magnoliopsida; Fabales; Fabaceae
Description: long non-coding RNA (AIPA_LNC001222)
Source: RNAcentral